RNAcentral lists this ribosomal RNA (1140 nucleotides) under Triticum aestivum (bread wheat). RNAcentral describes it as "partial small subunit ribosomal RNA". The record is from RNAcentral. Lineage: Eukaryota; Viridiplantae; Streptophyta; Magnoliopsida; Poales; Poaceae.
AUGCUCCGCCUCCGGGGCUGCAUCCUCCCCCGCCUCCUCUCAUCUCCCUCCACCUCCCUCCACCGCCUCCUCUCCGCGGCCGCGCCUGCCGUUUCUCCGAGCCCUAGCUUCGCCGUGGAGGAGUACCUCGUCGCCACCUGCGGCCUCACCCCAGCGCAGGCCCGCAAGGCCUCCCCCAAGAUCUCCCACCUCAAGUCCCCAGCCAACCCCGACGCCGUCCUCGCCUUCCUCGCCGGCCUCGGCCUCUCCGGCGCCGAUGUCGCCACUGUCAUCCGCAAGGACCCCAAGUUGCUCUGCGCGGGCGUGGAGAGGACCCUGGCCCCCAACGUCGCGGGGCUCAUCAGCCUCGGCCUCUCGCGUUCUGACAUCGCGCGCCUCGCAUCGCUCACCGGCGUCACUUUCCGCUGCAGAUCCAUCAUCGCCGGGCUGCACUACUGCAUGCCCCUCUUCGGCUCCUCCGAGAACCUCCUUCGAGCCCUCAAGAGUGGCUCCGUUCUCUCCUCCGACCUCGAGCGGGUGGUCAAGCCCAAUGUCACCUUCCUGCGGGAGUGCGGGCUAGGUGCUUGCGAUAUUGCCAAGCUCUACGCACACACGCCAUCCCUGCUCAGCAUCAGCAUCGAACGCAUCCGGACAGCAGUGGCGUGCGUCGAAGGUUUUGGUGUACACCGUGAAUCGCGGAUGUUCAGACAUGCGCUGCAAGUUGUUGCAUUCCUCAGUGAGGAGAAAAUCGCCACCAAGGUAGAGCACUUGAAGAAAAUGUUCAGGUGGUCGGAUGCCGAGGUGGGCAUUGCUUUUUCUUACGCUCCAACAUUGCUAAGGAGGAGUAAAGAAUCGCUGCAGCGCAGGUCCGAGUUCUUCAUCUCUGAGGCGGGGUUUGAGCCGUCAUACAUUGCUCAUCGUCCAGCAAUGCUCACGUACAGCUUGGAGGGCCGCGUCAGACCCCGGUACUACAUUGUAAAGUUUCUCAAGGAAAAUGGAUUGCUAAAUCACGACCGGGACUGCUAUAAAACACUCAUUAUCAGCGAGAAAGAAUUUGUGGAGAAGUUCAUAUGCCCUCACAUGGAAGCUGCACCACACCUUGCUGAAGACUAUGCAACUACCUGCGGAGGGGAAGUCCCCGCCAGGUUCAUAUUUGCAUGA